GGAACCGAAUCGCGUCAACGUGAA
RNAcentral lists this non-coding RNA (24 nucleotides) under Arabidopsis thaliana (thale cress). The record is from RNAcentral. Lineage: Eukaryota; Viridiplantae; Streptophyta; Magnoliopsida; Brassicales; Brassicaceae.